RNAcentral lists this ribosomal RNA (472 nucleotides) under uncultured bacterium. Its description in RNAcentral is "partial 16S ribosomal RNA". It matches the Rfam family "Bacterial small subunit ribosomal RNA", at positions 30 to 507 of the family's 1533-position model. The record is from RNAcentral.
AUUGAACGCUGGCGGCAGGCCUAACACAUGCCAGUCGAGCGGGGACUUCGGUCCUAGCGGCGAACGGGUGAGUAAUGCUUGGGAAUCUGCCCAGUAGUGGGGGAUAACGUCCCGAAAGGGACGCUAAUACCGCAUACGUCCUACGGGAGAAAGAGGGGGAUCUUCGGACCUCUCGCUAUUGGAUGAGCCCAAGUCGGAUUAGCUAGUUGGUAGGGUAAUGGCCUACCAAGGCGACGAUCCGUAGCUGGUCUGAGAGGAUGAUCAGCCACACUGGAACUGAGACACGGUCCAGACUCCUACGGGAGGCAGCAGUGGGGAAUAUUGGACAAUGGGCGAAAGCCUGAUCCAGCCAUGCCGCGUGUGUGAAGAAGGCCUUCGGGUUGUAAAGCACUUUAAGCGGGGAGGAAGGUUCGCGGCCUAAUACGUCGCGGAAUUGACGUUACCCGCAGAAUAAGCACCGGCUAACUCUGUG